This 120-nucleotide ribosomal RNA is filed under the name uncultured bacterium. RNAcentral's name for it is "partial 16S ribosomal RNA". It matches the Rfam family "Bacterial small subunit ribosomal RNA", at positions 215 to 334 of the family's 1533-position model. The record is from RNAcentral.
GCGUUUGAAGAGGGGCCCGCGUCCGAUUAGCUAGUUGGUGAGGUAAUGGCUCACCAAGGCGACGAUCGGUAGCCGGCCUGAGAGGGCGGACGGCCACACUGGGACUGAGACACGGCCCAG